GCGGCAGGCUUAACACAUGCAAGUCGAACGGUAACAGAAAGUAGCUUGCUACUUUGCUGACGAGUGGCGGACGGGUGAGUAAUGCUUGGGAAUAUGCCUUAUGGUGGGGGACAACAGUUGGAAACGACUGCUAAUACCGCAUAACAUCUCCGGAUCAAAGUGGGGGACCUUCGGGCCUCACGCCAUAAGAGUAGCCCAAGUGGGAUUAGCUAGUUGGUAAGGUAAUGGCUUACCAAGGCGACGAUCCCUAGUUGGUCUUAGAGGAUGACCAGCCACACUGGAACUGAGACACGGUCCAGACUCCUACGGGAGGCAGCAGUGGGGAAUAUUGCACAAUGGGCGCAAGCCUGAUGCAGCCAUGCCGCGUGUGUGAAGAAGGCUUUCGGGUUGUAAAGCACUUUCAGCGAGGAGGAAAGGGUAUUGUUUAAUAAGCAAUAUCUGUGACGUUACUCGCAGAAGAAGCACCGGCUAACUCCGUGCCAGCAGCCGCGGUAAUACGGAGGGUGCGAGCGUUAAUCGGAAUUACUGGGCGUAAAGCGCGCGUAGGCGGUUAAUUAAGUCAGAUGUGAAAUCCCAGGGCUCAACCUUGGAACUGCAUUUGAAACUGGUUAACUAGAGUUUUGUAGAGGGUGGUAGAAUUUCAGGUGUAGCGGUGAAAUGCGUAGAGAUCUGAAGGAAUACCAGUGGCGAAGGCGGCCACCUGGACAAUAACUGACGCUGAGGCGCGAAGGCGUGGGGAGCAAACGGGAUUAGAUACCCCGGUAGUCCACGCAGUAAACGAUGUCUAUUAGAAUUUUGUGGCUAUAUGCCGUGGGAUUCAAAGCUAACGCAUUAAAUAGACCGC
Molecule: ribosomal RNA, 844 nt
Filed under: uncultured Psychromonas sp.
Lineage: Bacteria; Pseudomonadati; Pseudomonadota; Gammaproteobacteria; Alteromonadales; Psychromonadaceae
Description: bacterial SSU rRNA
Rfam family: Bacterial small subunit ribosomal RNA
Source: RNAcentral